Molecule: ribosomal RNA, 123 nt
Organism: Cricetulus griseus (Chinese hamster)
Lineage: Eukaryota; Metazoa; Chordata; Mammalia; Rodentia; Cricetidae
Source: Ensembl
GUCUAUUGACACACCAACCUGAACGUGCCUGAUCUCGUCUAAUCUUGGAAGCUAAGCGGGGCUGGGCCUGGUAAGUACUUGGAUGGGAGAAUUAUAGUUAACAUCAAAAGGAAUCACUUGAGU